RNAcentral lists this transfer RNA (74 nucleotides) under Cryptococcus deneoformans B-3501A. RNAcentral's name for it is "tRNA-Glu". It matches the Rfam family "tRNA". Rfam says of the family: Transfer RNA (tRNA) molecules are approximately 80 nucleotides in length. The record is from RNAcentral. Lineage: Eukaryota; Fungi; Basidiomycota; Tremellomycetes; Tremellales; Cryptococcaceae.
UCUUCAUUAGUAUAACGGUUAGUAUAACCGCUUCUCAGUCGCGGUAGACCAGGGUUCAACUCCCUGAUGGAGAA